RNAcentral lists this ribosomal RNA (253 nucleotides) under uncultured bacterium. RNAcentral describes it as "partial 16S ribosomal RNA". It matches the Rfam family "Bacterial small subunit ribosomal RNA", at positions 524 to 776 of the family's 1533-position model. The record is from RNAcentral.
GACAGAGGUGCCGAGCGUUAGGCGGAAUCACUGGGCUUAAAGCGUGUGUAGGCGGAUCGUUAAGUGCCUUGUGAAAUCCCACGGCUUAACUGUGGAACGGCUGGGCAUACUGGCGGUCUUGAGCCAUCUAGGGGCGACUGGAACAAACGGUGGAGCGGUGAAAUGCGUAGAUAUCGUUUGGAACGCCAAUGGUGAAAACAGGUCGCUGGGGAUGAGCUGACGCUGAGACACGAAAGCCAGGGGAGCAAACGGG